RNAcentral lists this ribosomal RNA (497 nucleotides) under uncultured bacterium. RNAcentral's name for it is "partial 16S ribosomal RNA". It matches the Rfam family "Bacterial small subunit ribosomal RNA", at positions 28 to 507 of the family's 1533-position model. The record is from RNAcentral.
GAUGAACGCUGGCGGCGUGCCUAAUACAUGCAAGUCGAGCGAACGGACGAGAAGCUUGCUUCUCUGAUGUUAGCGGCGGACGGGUGAGUAACACGUGGAUAACCUGCCUAUAAGACUGGGAUAACUUCGGGAAACCGGAGCUAAUACCGGAUGAUAUUUUGAACCGCAUGGUUCAAAAGUGAAAGACGGUCUUGCUGUCACUUAUAGAUGGAUCCGCGCUGCAUUAGCUAGUUGGUAAGGUAACGGCUUGCCAAGGCAACGAUGCAUAGCCGACCUGAGAGGGUGAUCGGCCACACUGGAACUGAGACACGGUCCAGACUCCUACGGGAGGCAGCAGUAGGGAAUCUUCCGCAAUGGGCGAAAGCCUGACGGAGCAACGCCGCGUGAGUGAUGAAGGUCUUCGGAUCGUAAAACUCUGUUAUUAGGGAAGAACAUAUGUGUAAGUAACUGUGCACAUCUUGACGGUACCUAAUCAGAAAGCCACGGCUAACUACGUG